AGCAGCCGCGGUAAUUCGGAGGGUGCGAGCGUUGUCCGGAAUCACUGGGCGUAAAGGGCGCGUAGGCGGCGCGGAGAGUCAACGGUGAAAGCUCGGGGCUCAACCCCGAGUCGGCCGUCGAUACUUCCGUGCUGGAGCACUGUAGAGGCAGGUGGAAUUCCGGGUGUAGCGGUGGAAUGCGUAGAGAUCCGGAAGAACACCGGUGGCGAAGGCGGCCUGCUGGGCAGUAGCUGACGCUGAUGCGCGACAGCGUGGGGAGCAAACAGGAUUAGAUACCCUGGCAGUCCACGCCGUAAGCGAUGGGCACUAGGUGCUUGGGGGAGCGACCCUCUGAGUGCCGGCGCUAACGCAUUAAGUGCCCCGCCUGGGGAGUACGGCCGCAAGGCUGAAACUCAAAGGAAUUGACGG
This 408-nucleotide ribosomal RNA is filed under the name uncultured soil bacterium. RNAcentral describes it as "bacterial SSU rRNA". It matches the Rfam family "Bacterial small subunit ribosomal RNA", at positions 510 to 916 of the family's 1533-position model. The record is from RNAcentral.